RNAcentral lists this ribosomal RNA (497 nucleotides) under uncultured bacterium. Its description in RNAcentral is "partial 16S ribosomal RNA". It matches the Rfam family "Bacterial small subunit ribosomal RNA", at positions 28 to 507 of the family's 1533-position model. The record is from RNAcentral.
GAUGAACGCUGGCGGCGUGCCUAAUACAUGCAAGUCGAGCGAACGGAUGAGAAGCUUGCUUCUCUGAUGUUAGCGGCGGACGGGUGAGUAACACGUGGAUAACCUACCUAUAAGACUGGGAUAACUUCGGGAAACCGGAGCUAAUACCGGAUAAUAUUUUGAACCGCAUGGUUCAAAAGUGAAAGACGGUCUUGCUGUCACUUAUAGAUGGAUCCGCGCUGCAUUAGCUAGUUGGUAAGGUAACGGCUUACCAAGGCAACGAUGCAUAGCCGACCUGAGAGGGUGAUCGGCCACACUGGAACUGAGACACGGUCCAGACACCUACGGGAGGCAGCAGUAGGGAAUCUUCCGCAAUGGGCGAAAGCCUGACGGAGCAACGCCGCGUGAGUGAUGAAGGUCUUCGGAUCGUAAAACUCUGUUAUUAGGGAAGAACAUAUGUGUAAGUAACUGUGCACAUCUUGACGGUACCUAAUCAGAAAGCCACGGCUAACUACGUG